RNAcentral lists this long non-coding RNA (1616 nucleotides) under Triticum aestivum (bread wheat). Its description in RNAcentral is "long non-coding RNA (TAES_LNC013423)". The record is from RNAcentral. Lineage: Eukaryota; Viridiplantae; Streptophyta; Magnoliopsida; Poales; Poaceae.
UUUUUUUUUCUUUUUGCACUUACAAAAUGAACAGCAUCAGACAUAACAAUUCUUUUUUCUUUUUGCACUUACGAAAUGAACAGCAUCAAACAGCCGACCGCACUGCUUUCGGACUGAAAACCGCAGUGCAUCAGACGGACAACCGAACUGCAUGGUUUCUUUUGUGAAACAGGAAUUUUUCCAAACGUUUUUUGCAACAUGUUCGAAAAGUACUCCCUCAAAUUUUUUCAACAAAACACAAUGUACUGCACGUGUUGGGUUGACGAACUGCAUUUGUUUUUUCUCCACAAAUUUAACAAUUUUAAAUGCCAGUCGGGCGUGGGGCUGUCGAACUGCAUGGCCAUGGUCCAGUGCACUACAUUGGGGGAGAUAAGUGCAUUGCAUAAAUGAUGCAAAUAAUAAUGAAGAGACGUUUAAUAUAAGUUUCCACAAGCAAACAUGCAUAUAAAAAUAGAGAAAAAGAAAUUAUAUACACACGACACACACAAACAUGACUUCACCAACAUCAACGGUCUCCCAGCCGAAGUGUAUUAGGGGGCAACGCCCUGUUUUCCUCCGGCGAACUUCAUCACCCAGCUAGAGAACCUUCUGCCAACACAAGUAUAAUGCAAGCCUCGCCCAUCCGCACUGCAUAAAGGACGCCAUGGGAAUGCACGUUGUUGCACUGCUUCUGAAAAAAAACCACCAGUGGCAGUUAGAUCCAGGAGAGCCAGAAGUUUUAAUCCAGGUGGGGGCGAUGCGUACUGAAGGUGCCCGUGGGAUGGAUUGCAACAACAGGCGAUAUCUACUGAGGUUGCCCAAAUAAAAUGUGGCAAGGAAGGGGCGUGUUGUCGGCGAUCUGCACAUGGGGGAGGAGAGAGCUGCGGGGGUCGCUCGGAAGAACUGCUUCGGUUGCAGGGGAGCGGUGGGCGGCCAGAGCAGGCGCUGGUGAAGGGGAAGGCAGAGGUUCAGGGGGUAGAGGAGGAGUAGGGGCAUGGCCGGCGGCGCCGCUGGAAGUGGCCGAAGCGUGGUGGCACGUAUGAGGUCGCUGGAGUCUGCCGUCGAUGGCCAUCAACUCGGCGAGGAGACCACGACCCAUUCCCAUCUGCAGGAAAAAUGAUUUAUAAAAAAAAGAAGAAAAAAGGAAAUGCAGCGUCACGCCUGAUGAACUCCAACCCAAGCCUCGGCCGUUGACCUCGCCGUUGAUGGCGGGGAAGGGGCGCAUGGCCUGGGAGGGGGAAGGUAAGGGAGGGGUGGCGUGGUGGCCAUGGACGCCCCGGCCUGCGUCUGGCCAUGGACAGAGAGGAGGACCCCAGGGCAGUGCGAGGGUCAGGGAUUUUGGGCCGUGGUCGGAGAGGAAGAAGCUCGUGCUCGAUGCAGCGGGAUGGGAGGGAGGAGGUGGAGGAACGGGGAGGAGAGAGUCGCCGGCGACCCCCGAGCUCACCCGGGCCCGCUAGGCGCAUCCGUCGUCGGGAAGCCGCGGGAGGACGACCACGGGGAGGAUCCAGCAGCCCCUCGACCCUGUGGUUGGGAGGGACGGCGACGCGCGGAUUCGACGCCGGCCACGCGUGGGAGGAUGGCGAUGGGCCGAUCCGGUGGCUGGUCAGCGCGGGGGCAGUUGGGCCGGGGAGGGGAGN